UUUUUUCUUUGGCGUUGACUCGCACGGUCUUGGAUCUCAUCGAAGAACCCUAAUCCAAUCCGAAGGAAGAAACAUCUUCGUUGUUGUUGCGUCGCGUAUCGAUCGAUCCAAAAUAAACUAGCUUUGGCAGCUCCCGAACCAAAAUCCCACCUUAGUCUCAGGCCAUGCGAUGCUGGUCAUCGUUCUCCGCCAUCGCCCUCUCCCGAGAGGACUCCUUUUCUUUCGCCGCCGAUAAUUUCUCCGCUUCUUGCUUAGCUUCCUUCUGACGGAGAGAGAGGAUUUGUGUGUGUAAUUGUUG
Molecule: long non-coding RNA, 298 nt
Filed under: Arachis ipaensis
Lineage: Eukaryota; Viridiplantae; Streptophyta; Magnoliopsida; Fabales; Fabaceae
Description: long non-coding RNA (AIPA_LNC001004)
Source: RNAcentral